This 200-nucleotide ribosomal RNA is filed under the name uncultured eukaryote. RNAcentral's name for it is "partial 18S ribosomal RNA". It matches the Rfam family "Eukaryotic small subunit ribosomal RNA", at positions 589 to 805 of the family's 1831-position model. The record is from RNAcentral.
CUCCAAUAGCGUAUAUUAAAGUUGUUGCAGUUAAAAAGCUCGUAGUUGGAUUUCUGGCAGAGGAACUUAGUCCGCAUGCUGCGUGACAAAGGCUCUCUACCAUCCUUCUGUUAACCUCCUAGUUCUUCAUUGAGCUGUUGGGAGCCAGAUAUUACCUUGAGAAAAUUAGAGUGUUUCAGGCAGCUAGCGCCGGAUACAUU